This 440-nucleotide ribosomal RNA is filed under the name uncultured bacterium. RNAcentral describes it as "partial 16S ribosomal RNA". It matches the Rfam family "Bacterial small subunit ribosomal RNA", at positions 338 to 795 of the family's 1533-position model. The record is from RNAcentral.
CCUACGGGGGACAGCAGUAGGGAAUAUUGCUCAAUGGGGGCAACCCUGAAGCAGCCACGCCGCGUGGAGGAUGAAGGUUUUCGGAUUGUUAACUCCUUUUUUUAGAGAAGAUAAUGACGGUAUCUAACGAAUAAGCACCGGCUAACUCCGUGCCAGCAGCCGCGGUAAUACGGAGGGUGCAAGCGUUACUCGGAAUCACUGGGCAUAAAGAGGGCGUAGGCGGGAUAGCAAGUCAGAUGUGAAAUCCUAUGGCUUAACCAUAGAACUGCAUUUGAAACUGUUAUUCUAGAGUAUGGGAGAGGUAGGUGGAAUGCUUGGUGUAGGGGUAAAAUGCGUAGAGAUCAAGAAGAAUACUCAUUGCGAAGGCGACCUGCUAGAACAUAACUGACGCUGAUGCGCGAAAGCGUGGGGAGCAAACAGGAUUAGAUACCCCAGUAGUC